UGCGGAGCGGGAGCAGUCAGCCAGGGGUUGCCCUGGGGCGAGCAGGACACAAUGUAACGGCCCUUUGUUGGAGCGGAGUUGCUCCGAGGCAAGGAAGCUCCUGGAGAAGCAGCAAAACGCCGUGAGGAGAGGGGCGAGGAUAAGUUCCUUGGUUACUUGGUCUUGUAUCUCGGAGAGGAGAAGUGGUGAACAAAGUCCACACCUGUACUGGCCUUCCUUUCCUUCCUGUUUCCUCUCUCUGAUGUCAAGCAUUCUGCUUGGUUUAAAAUCCACUUUCUCCUACAAAAGCAUUAGUGCAAAUAAAACAGAACUGAGUUUUAUAAGUGUAUAAGAGAGUCUAGCAAUCUAGCAAAAUACAAUCUCACCUAUAGUGUGAAUAUUUCGAAAGAACAAAACAGUUCAGAACUAUCCUCGCUGGACUGCUAUCCAAUAUUAGAUUCAGUAGGCGUAGCAGAAACUAAUCUGUUCUGCCCUGAAAGAGCUAAUAUGUAGAAGAGUUGAUGUAGAAUAAAUAUAUUGUACUUUCUAAGAAGAAAAAGACAGGUUGUAGGUAUCAUUUGAAAUAAGUCACCUUUUUAUGCAUCUUAAUUCCCUCUGGUAAGACAGAUAUGCACCAAAUCUACCUUGUACAGCAUAAGCAGGAAAGGAACUCUCUCUAAUUAUAUACUCACCAAGAGGGAAAAAUAAAGACUUGGUUCAGCCCCCCUACAUCUUCACAUCUACUGUUAGUCACAUAAUUUCAAUUGUCUUUGUGUUUAGAUCAAGAAAGUUGGUGGGUACGGGGAAUUAAUAAUGGAAUGUGAAGGAAUCUUGAGGCCUAUCACUGCAGUGAAAGUCCUCGUAGGAAGGUCUUGAGCUGUGUUAGCCAGCUAGAAUUCAUAUUUGGCAAUUUAUUUUCUGCUUUGGGCAGGCUUGAUUCCCAGACUAUGUUGCGACUGCUGAAUUAAACAUGGCUGCAAGACAAUUCCGUGCCGAGGCCAGCUGGCACUGUAACAGCCCAUGGUGUCCAUACUGUUAAACUCUCUUGGCAUCUCAAAUAAGGGGACUACAUGCAAACUCCUGUUUGAAUAGCCUCUGGCCCAUGUUAACUUCCAGAUCAGCUCUGGAAUUUUUUGGAGAGAGAUAAUUGGCCUGGGCCAGGAAUCAAGCUAAUCUGUAUUCUUGGAGCUCCAAGGUCCAGGAAUGUUUCCUCAGGCACUGUUAAUUACUGGCAGAUACAUAGCCUAUAGACUGUAACAAUCCUGUUAUUCACUCACGUAGGUGGCUACUGAUCCAGUCAUCGUUUGGGUUGUGUCUGGGAGAACGUGUUAGCACUAAAUGUAGGGGAAAAUGUCUCUGACAGUAAAUUAGACUUUAUCACAGACAAUGCAAACAGAAGGCUUCAAAAUAAAUGUGUCUCUCUGUGCUUUUGUAUAUUCCCUACUUCCACAGCUUCUGACUACUUUCUAUGCUGUGCUUGAACACAAAAGCAGAGCAGAGAUAGAAGAACGCUAGUUAGUCAUGAAACCAUAACUGCAGCACCCAGAGCAAUCAUUUGAGAGAGAUCUCAAGGACCACUCAGGUUCAAUCAAUGCAAAAGAAAAAGCACAGUAAAGAUCACUUUGUUCAAAAAUAGGUUUACAAAGAUUUAAAUUCUUUGUAGAAUGAUGGGAAGAGAGAUCAAAGAUGCAUGCAAAGCUAAAACAAUAAAUAAUCUGGCUUUGUACACCAAGACAGCUUUGGAAACUUGUUCUCAUUUCGUUGACAGUAAAAUAUAUUUUCUCCAGAAAUACCAGCAUUUACACGGUCACUGCUUGCAUUGUUUUUCUGUAUUUUAUUUCUUCCUCAAGAGUUUAUCAUUAAGUAGUAACGCCCAAAUUGUUACCCCUCUUUUUAACAAACUAGUGAUUUUUAAAGAAGCAGUGAAAAGUGGAUUAUAAAAAAAAUGAGAUCCGAGUCACAUGGUUCUUUGCAAAACUUUGAGGGACAAAAAACAUACAGAAAAUGAAAGCAAUAUGUUUUGGUAUUCAUUUUGCAGUGCCUCCUUUCUUAUUCCACCCUGUGUUUGUAGAGAAAGAUACACUGAACUUUGCAAGAAGAGUAUUUUCAAAUUUUGUUCUAAGAAAUGUGCUUCUCUUGAUAAAGACUUUUCAAAGAAAGUUAAUGCACUCAUAUUUCUGGAUAUUAUUCCACAAGUUCCUGUUCUCGUUUACAAUUUGAAGCCUGGGGGAAAAAAGUGAAAAUAAACAAAAAAGUUCCUAAUUUUAA
Molecule: long non-coding RNA, 2247 nt
Organism: Numida meleagris (helmeted guineafowl)
Lineage: Eukaryota; Metazoa; Chordata; Aves; Galliformes; Numididae
Exons: 2
Source: RefSeq, a predicted model, not a curated record